AUCCAAAAGGUUUAUCGAUCCCAAGGGGUACAGAUCCAUAAUAGACAUAUAGAGAUUAUUAUACGCCAAGUAACAUCAAAAGUGCGGGUUUCCGAAGAUGGAAUGUCUAAUGUUUUUUCGCCUGGGGAAUUAAUCAGACUAUUGCAAGCGGAACGAGCAGGACGAGCUUUGGAUGAAUCGAUCUAUUAUCGGGCAAUCUUAUUGGGAAUAACAAGGGCUUCCCUGAAUACCGAAAGUUUCAUAUCUGAAGCAAGUUUUCAAGAAACUGCUCGAGUUUUAGCAAAAGCUGCCCUACGAGGUCGCAUUGAUUGGUUGAAAGGCUUGAAAGAAAACGUAGUUCUGGGGGGGAUUCCAUUUUAA
RNAcentral lists this ribosomal RNA (360 nucleotides) under Triticum aestivum (bread wheat). RNAcentral describes it as "partial small subunit ribosomal RNA". The record is from RNAcentral. Lineage: Eukaryota; Viridiplantae; Streptophyta; Magnoliopsida; Poales; Poaceae.